Mobula hypostoma (lesser devil ray) is the source of this 150-nucleotide long non-coding RNA. RefSeq lists it as uncharacterized. The record is from RefSeq and is a predicted model, not a curated record. Lineage: Eukaryota; Metazoa; Chordata; Chondrichthyes; Myliobatiformes; Myliobatidae. The transcript has 4 exons.
GAAUGGCUAAACAUUAAAUGCUGCCUGACCAUCUGGAGGUUUGUUGCUUUCAUUACAGAUUUUCCACAUCAGACACAAGAGAAAAUGAAGCAGAACCUGCCAGCAAGUAGCAAGAAAUAGACAGCAUUCAGGUUCUUUUGAAGACCCUGA